RNAcentral lists this ribosomal RNA (253 nucleotides) under uncultured bacterium. Its description in RNAcentral is "partial 16S ribosomal RNA". It matches the Rfam family "Bacterial small subunit ribosomal RNA", at positions 524 to 776 of the family's 1533-position model. The record is from RNAcentral.
UACUUAGGGCGCAAGCGUUGUCCGGAAUUAUUGGGCGUAAAGAGCUCGUAGGCGGCUUGUCACGUCGGGUGUGAAAGCCCGGGGCUUAACCCCGGGUCUGCAUUCGAUACGGGCAGGCUAGAGUGUGGUAGGGGAGAUCGGAAUUCCUGGUGUAGCGGUGAAAUGCGCAGAUAUCAGGAGGAACACCGGUGGCGAAGGCGGAUCUCUGGGCCAUUACUGACGCUGAGGAGCGAAAGCGUGGGGAGCGAACAGG